UGGGGAAUAUUGGACAAUGGGGGGAACCCUGAUCCAGCAAUGCCGCGUGUGUGAAGAAGGCCUGAGGGUUGUAAAGCACUUUCAGUGGGGAGGAGGAUUGAUUGGUUAAGAGCUGAUUAAUUGGACGUUACCCACAGAAGAAGCACCGGCUAACUCCGUGCCAGCAGCCGCGGUAAUACGGAGGGUGCGAGCGUUAAUCGGAAUUACUGGGCGUAAAGGGUGCGUAGGUUGUUUGAUAAGUUAUCUGUGAAAGCCCUGGGCUCAACCUGGGAAGGCCAGAUAAGACUGUAAGACUCGAGUAUGGGAGAGGGUAGUGGAAUUUCCGGUGUAGCGGUGAAAUGCGUAGAGAUCGGAAGGAACACCAGUGGCGAAGGCGGCUACCUGGCCUAAUACUGACACUGAGGCACGAAAGCGUGGGGAGCAAACA
Molecule: ribosomal RNA, 427 nt
Filed under: uncultured bacterium
Lineage: Bacteria
Description: bacterial SSU rRNA
Rfam family: Bacterial small subunit ribosomal RNA
Source: RNAcentral